CUGCCUGCCACAGCCGGAUAAUCGGGAGAAAUUCCGUCUAAUACGGCAUAAUGCAUCGACGGGACAUCCUGUUGGUGCCAAAGGUUAAUUCCGGUGGCGGAUGGGCAUGCGUCGCAUUAGUUAGUUGGCGGUGUAACGGACCACCAAGACGACGAUGCGUAGGGGUUCUGAGAGGAAGGUCCCCCACACUGGUACUGAGACACGGACCAGACUCCUACGGGAGGCAGCAGUGAGGAAUAUUGGUCAAUGGGCGGGAGCCUGAACCAGCCAAGUCGCGUGAGGGAUGACGGUCCUAUGGGUUGUAAACCUCUUUUGCCGGGGAGCAAAGUGCCGCACGUGUGCGGUUUGGAGAGUACCCGGAGAAAAAGCAUCGGCUAACUCCGUGCCAGCAGCCGCGGUAAUACGGAGGAUGCGAGCGUUAUCCGGAUUUAUUGGGUUUAAAGGGUGCGUAGGCGGACGCUUAAGUCAGCGGUAAAAUUGCGGGGCUCAACCUCGUCGAGCCGUUGAAACUGGGUGCCUUGAGUGGGCGAGAAGUACGCGGAAUGCGUGGUGUAGCGGUGAAAUGCAUAGAUAUCACGCAGAACUCCGAUUGCGAAGGCAGCGUACCGGCGCCCUACUGACGCUGAAGCACGAAGGCGUGGGUAUCGAACAGGAUUAGAUACCCUGGUAGUCCACGCAGUAAACGAUGA
Molecule: ribosomal RNA, 689 nt
Filed under: uncultured bacterium
Lineage: Bacteria
Description: bacterial SSU rRNA
Rfam family: Bacterial small subunit ribosomal RNA
Source: RNAcentral